Molecule: ribosomal RNA, 253 nt
Filed under: uncultured bacterium
Lineage: Bacteria
Description: partial 16S ribosomal RNA
Rfam family: Bacterial small subunit ribosomal RNA
Source: RNAcentral
UACGUAGGGGGCUAGCGUUGUCCGGAUUUAUUGGGCGUAAAGAGCGUGUAGGCGGCCAUGUAGGUCCGGUGUGAAAACUCGAGGCUUAACCUCGAGAUGUCAUCGGAAACCAUUUGGCUAGAGUCCGGAAGAGGAGAGUGGAAUUCCUGGUGUAGCGGUGAAAUGCGCAGAUAUCAGGAAGAACACCACUGGCGAAAGCAGCUCUCUGGGACGGUACUGACGCUGAGACGCGAAAGCGUGGGGAGCGAACAGG